AUUGAACGCUGGCGGCAUGCUUUACACAUGCAAGUCGAACGGUAACAGGCCGCAAGGUGCUGACGAGUGGCGAACGGGUGCGUAAUGCAUCGGAACGUGCCCAGUCGUGGGGGAUAACUACUCGAAAGAGUAGCUAAUACCGCAUACGAUCUAUGGAUGAAAGCGGGGGACCGUAAGGCCUCGCGCGAUUGGAGCGGCCGAUGUCAGAUUAGGUAGUUGGUGGGGUAAAGGCUCACCAAGCCAACGAUCUGUAGCUGGUCUGAGAGGACGACCAGCCACACUGGGACUGAGACACGGCCCAGACUCCCACGGGAGGCAGCAGUGGGGAAUUUUGGACAAUGGGCGCAAGCCUGAUCCAGCAAUGCCGCGUGCAGGAAGAAGGUCUUCGGGUUGUAAACUGCUUUUGUACGGAACGAAACGGCUCUGGUUAAUACCCGGGGCUAAUGACGGUACCGUAAGAAUAAGCACCGGCUAACUACGUG
Molecule: ribosomal RNA, 482 nt
Filed under: uncultured bacterium
Lineage: Bacteria
Description: partial 16S ribosomal RNA
Rfam family: Bacterial small subunit ribosomal RNA
Source: RNAcentral